CAGCAGCCGCGGUAACACGGAGGGGGCUAGCGUUGUUCGGAAUUACUGGGCGUAAAGCGCACGUAGGCGGCUUGGUAAGUUAGAGGUGAAAGCCUGGAGCUCAACUCCAGAAUUGCCUUUAAGACUGCCGAGCUAGCAGGUGAGAGAGGUAAGUGGAAUUCCGAGUGUAGAGGUGAGAUUCGUAGAUAUUCGGAAGAACACCAGUGGCGAAGGCGGCUUACUGGCUCAUACUGGACGCUGAGGUGCGAAAGCGUGGGGAGCAAACAGGAUUAGAUACCCGCGUAGUCCCUGUCUCUAUACC
RNAcentral lists this ribosomal RNA (301 nucleotides) under uncultured bacterium. Its description in RNAcentral is "partial 16S ribosomal RNA". It matches the Rfam family "Bacterial small subunit ribosomal RNA", at positions 509 to 808 of the family's 1533-position model. The record is from RNAcentral.